GUCGGCGAAGAGAACAGAGGGAGGUCAAGAAAGAAAGGGAAAAAGAAUAAAGAAUAAAGAAAGAAAAAAAAGUACCGGGAGAAGGGGGAAGAAGAAGGACGCGAGAGGAAAGGAGAUAAAGAGAGUGAAGGGGGAAAAGAAGAAGAAUUCCAGAGAGUUUGGAUUUUUAUCAAAGGCUGCGAAUUGGGUAUUUCUGGAUUUGAGGGGAGAAGCUAGAUUGAUUUUUCAGAAGCAAAGGGGAACAUUUGAGAGUGUGGUUCGAUCAGAUUUGUAGAAAGGCAAAAGGGGAGAAAGUGGAGGGCUUUGUUUGCCUGGCCUUAGCCUUACUAUAUUCACCAUGGUCCAUCAAUAAGGUUUUUCUUUCACGUCUGAAACCAAGAUCUUGGGAAUUAUGGGAGAGUUAGAAACCCCAGCAGACAAAGAAGGAGAUGGAGGUGUUCAGCCUAAAACGGAGGCGGGGAUGAGCCGGAAGGAGAAGAGGAAAACCAUGAAGAAGAUGAAGCGGAAGCAGACGAGGAAGGAAAUCGCUCUCAAACAGCAUGAAGAAGAAGAGGCGAGGCUCCAAGAUCCUCAAGAGCUUAUCAACAUGGAGCAAGAGGAGGCCAAGAGGUCCGAGAGUGUGAGGAUCAUAUUCGAGGAGCGAGAGAGAGCUUGGAUUGAAGCCAUGGAGAUUCGAAAGAAGAAACGAAUCGAAGAAGAAGAGGAACGUAGAAUUAGCGCUCUGGAAUACGAGGAACUAUCCCGCAAGCAGCAGAUCAAAAAUGCAAAUGAUGAUGGUGAUGAUGACUGGGAGUAUGUAGAAGAGGGACCUGCUGAAAUCAUCUGGCAGGAAAAUGAAAUAACUGUCAAGAAGAAAAGAGUCAAGGUUCCAAAGAGGAAUAAAGACCAGCGAAGUAUAAAGGAGGAUUCUGAUCGACCUACAUCAAAUCCUCUCCCUCCACAAUCCGAAGCUUUUGAUGAUUACAAAAAUGCAUCUUUAUCAGCGCAGCAGCUGAUAGAGACUGUGGCUGCACAAGUACCGCAUUUUGGAACUGAACAGGAUAAAGAUCAUUGUCCUUUCCAUUUGAAAACUGGAGCUUGUCGGUUUGGUCAGCAUUGCAGCCGGGUGCAUUUCUACCCGGAUAAAUCAUCCACGCUGCUUAUCAAGAACAUGUACAAUGGUCCUGGCCUUACUUGGGAGCAGGAUGAGGGGCUCGAGUACAUUGACGAAGAAAUUGAGCGCUGUUAUGAAGACUUUUAUGAGGAUGUUCAUACAGAGUUCUUGAAGUUCGGAGAAAUUAUAAAUUUCAAGGUGUGCAUAAAUGGUGCACCCCACUUGCGGGGAAAUGUGUACGUACAGUACAGUGCACUGGAGUCAGCUUUGGUUGCGCAUCAAUCUGUCAAUGGUCGCUACUUUGCUGGGAAGCAGAUAAGUUGUGACUUCAUCAAUGUGACCAGAUGGAAGGUUGCCAUAUGUGGGGAAUAUGUGAAGUCGAGGUACAAGACAUGUUCCCGUGGUAGGACAUGCAAUUUUAUCCACUGUUUCCGCAAUCCUGGUGGAGAGUAUGAAUGGGCUGAUAGUGAUAGGCCACCCCCAAAAUAUUGGGUGGAAAAGAUGGUUGCAUUAUUUGGUUAUUCUGAUGCAUACAAGAAACAUAUGAUGGAGGAUAACUCUGGACAGCUGAGGAACUCUAGCAAGAAGUCAAUGACAGAUUCACAGAGGUAUGUUGUGCAACGAUCUAGUUCUAGAGAUGGGAGUUACUCAAGUUUUGCUGGUUCUAGUAGAAGAUACGACAAUGAAAAUUAUGCUCCGAAGGGCACCGGCCACCAUAGACCUUCAGGUGAAGAGAACGCUUACUUGAAGGACUUUCAUCACAGGAAGAACAGAAAGUAUUAUAUUGAAAGAGUUUCAAGAUAACGGGUUCUUCGGAGGCUAGGUUGUCACUGUUUGCUAGUUGCUUCAGCUCAGUGUUCUAUUGGUUUAACAUGCUUCAGAAACCAUACCCAUUGAGAACGCAUUCUAGGUCAUGAUGUCGCCAUCUCAUCUCCUUUCACAUGGACCUGCCAAAGCAGGGCUGGAUUGUGUUAGCAGAUGAAGAUGAACAAAAUGUGGGAGACCUAACAUUGAAAGUACAACGCCUCAAUGGUGGUGAAGCCUUUCAUGGCUGACUACACCUAUAAAAUGUGUAACGCAGUUAGACAUUUGCGUUUCAUAUGGAUCUGCCGAAGUUGGGCUGGGUCGUGCUCGCUGAUGAGCAGUACGUGUCUGUCGUGGGAUGACAUUAUAUGAGAAAUGCCUCCAUGGUGGUGAAGCCUUUUAUGGCCUACAAUCAUUGAUUGAUCAUCAAGCACUGAAUGUGUAAACGCACAUGUGUUCCAAUUAUAAUUGCAAUUAAACUUCCAUGCAAACUUUUGAAUUGUAACUUGUAAAUGCGGGUAUAUAUGGGUUGUAAAUAAAGCAUAUAUAUGCUAUGUCUAUAAAAUCUGUUGGAUUCUUUUUUUCUU
RNA transcript from Rosa rugosa (rugosa rose), 2484 nucleotides. It is a transcript of the gene named zinc finger CCCH domain-containing protein 5-like, with no coding region annotated. Lineage: Eukaryota; Viridiplantae; Streptophyta; Magnoliopsida; Rosales; Rosaceae. The transcript is spliced from 12 exons. The record is from RefSeq and is a predicted model, not a curated record.